This 4814-nucleotide long non-coding RNA is filed under the name Homo sapiens (human). RNAcentral's name for it is "HSALNT0406753". The record is from RNAcentral. Lineage: Eukaryota; Metazoa; Chordata; Mammalia; Primates; Hominidae.
AAUCAGUUGGCGGAGCGGCGCGUGCGCGGGCGAGGAACUGCCCGGGCGCGGUAGCGUACGGGAAGACCGGAGAGGAGCUGCGUCUCUGCCCCGUGGGAGCCGGCGGGGCGGCGGGGCGGCGGCUGCAGCUGCAGCUCCGGCGCGAGGGCUCCCUUGCCGGGCCCUCUUCCCCGACCCCUGGGGCGCUCCGACAAGGAAGAGCCGUCCAGCGCGCGUCCGUCCUGAGCGUGGGUGAGGCCUGGAGGAGGCGCGCGCGCUAGGCAGGGCCGCACAGCGCGGGCAGAGUGCGGGAUGCGGGCACCCGGCCUAGAACCAAUUACAGAGUCAAACCCAAGAGCCGAAGAAAGUGAAGACUCGCAGCUUGCCGCAGCCCCCUCCUCGGCCUGCGCACCUCCCAUUGAGGGCGUCCUGAUUUAAACGCGUGCCUCCUGCAUUUCUGCUUCUGCCCCAGGCUAGAGCGGCGACCAGGAACGCUGGACCCACAGAGAUCUGUGGCAAUGUCUGUCGAACCAUGGUGUUCUUUGGGGCAUCUGACUAGAGUAUUGUUUGAUAACCAGAAAGAAAUCAAAAAUUGGUGAUCACAAGGCUAAUGUCACUUUUGCUGCAGUGGAAAAUCAUGAUCAUUCUGUUUAAAUCUGAGUCAGUUUUGAGACCUAGAGCCCAUUAAUUGACAAGGAGGCUUGGUUCCUCUCAGGAAGGAUCUUACAAUACCAGCAUCUGAGCAUAUACCAAGAAAUAUUCCUCCAAUCCUUCCCUAAAGGGACCUAGAGCCACUUUAAAAAGUAACUGGUCCGGGCGUGGUGGCUCACGCCUGUACUCCCAGCAUUUUGGGAGGCCGAGGCGGGCAGAUCACUUGAGGUCAGGAGUUUGAGACCACCCUGGCCAACAUAGCGAAACCCCGUCGCUACUAAAAAUACAAAAAUUAGCCGGGUUUGGUGGCUUGUGCCUGUAAUCCCAGCUACACGGGAGGCUGAGGCGUGACAAUCCCUUGAACCCAGGCCUUGUUGCCGCGAGCCACUGCACUCCAGCCUGAGCGACAGAGUCAGACUCAGUCUCAAAAAAAAAAAAAAAAAAAAGAAAACUGAUUCUGGCUGGGGGCAGUGGGUCACGCUUUUAAUCCCUGCACUUUGGGAAGCCGAAGUAGGAGGAUCGUUUGAGCCCAGGAGUUUGAGACCAGCCUGGGCAACAUAGCAAGAACCUGUCUUUACAAAAAUUAAAAGAUUAGCUGGGCGUGGUGGCAGGUGCCUGUGGUUCCAGCUACUCUGGAUGCUGAGGUGAGAGAAUCACUUAAGCCCAGGAGGUCAAGGCUGCAGUGACCUGUGUUCACGCCACUGCACUCCAGCCUGAGCAACACAGCAAGACUGUCUGAACAGCAACAACAAACACACCAAAAAAACUAGUUUACUUCGGAAAAGGGACUGUCUAGGUCUUUGAAGGGCUGAUACAGGAUCUGAGCUGACACUGUUUCCAGGAGCCCUGAAGCAUCAUGGCCCUCUCAUUAGGGUGCAGGCUUAUGGAAAUCAGAUGAUAAGCAGAAUUCCCAACCCGAGUCCUGUGGUUACUUCUCUGGUCUCAAUGCAUACUUGGGAUGUUUUUACCUAGCAGAGGGCGGAGCGUAUACAUUGAUCCCAGGCCUUUGGUACCAUAUGUAAGGAAGCGCAAAGUAGAAACCUUUGAAACUCCUCACCCUACUGAAACCUUUCCAAGAUAGUAAGUCAGAAACAAUGCUGCAUUCCAGGUGUAAUUGCAGAGGUAUUUCGCCCUCAAAGACUUAUAAAGCAGUGGUUACCGUUUCAUCCCUUCAAUUAACCUGAAUGGCUCCUGCUAAAUCUUGGUGGAUUCAAGUAAAUGAUGAUGCCCUGCACAAACUUAGCCAAGUCGUGUCCCCGAUCACACAGCUGUGCUAGGUGUGGUAUCUUUACUGGAACCGAUAAAUGCACCUCUGGCUCUUGAUAAUGCAAUUAUUGACUUGGUGAACAUUCUUUUCAAUUGCCAGUGGUAAAGAGGAUUAAAAGCAGUUCACAUUUAUAUGGGAAGGACAGCUCUGUAAAUGGUCUUGCUUCUUGCUGUCUGAACUCUCCUGUUCUCUGUCACAAUAGUCCUUAGGUAGCUUAUCAUCUAUAUUCCAUAUAACAUUGAUGAUGUCAUACUAGUUGGACAUGGUGAAGAAGGCCGUGCAUGUCAGAGGAUGAGCGAGAAGCCCUCAGAAGUUCUGGAGCCUGCCAUAUCAGUGACAUUCUCAGGGGUGCAGCGUUUGAGGGCAAGCCAGGGACAAGUUAUUGCAUCCUGCAUCCUUACAAGGAAGAAAGAGGCACAGCAUUGAGGCACCUCUGUGUUUUGGAGUCAGCAUGCACCGCGCUAGAGGAUACCUCUCUGACCCCUUUAUUGGGUAACGGGAAAACUGCCAGCUUUGAGUGGGGCCCAGAGAAAAAGAGGGCUCUGCUAAAGAUUUGGAUUGGGAGAUGGGCUUCCCUGCUGCAUAGAUCCAAUGGGUUACCGGGGGGCUUAUUUGGGGUAGGAAGGACCCUAUAUGGCAUCUCUGGCAAACUCCAACGGAAGAGUUGCAGUACACUGUCCUAGAGUUCUUGGACAAGACCAUGCCUUCUGCAGCAGAGAACUACUCGCCAAGUGAGAGCAGUAUCAGGCACACUACCAGACCCAGGUAGAGACCGAGCACCUGCUGGUGGGACAUCAGCGACCAUGCGACAGGGUCUGCCCAAGCGAGGUGUUGUCAGAUCCUCCAAGUCAGUAGGUCAGAGGCUCAGUAGCAAUUGAUGGUACAAUGAAAAAGGAAGCCUUGGGCUUGGACCCAAGCGUGUCUAGUGGGUAACAGUUAUUUACAGGAAGAGGUGGCAGUGUGGCCCCACAUCUGCUUUGCACUGAUAUUUCUCCCUUAGCAGAUAAGCAUUCUGGUCUGGUUCGUAUAUAGGUCAGUUUGAUGUGUUGAUAUGAACUGAAAAUGAACCAUAGGUACACUACAGUCCCAUUCAAGGUGACCCUAAAGGACGACAAUAGGAAAUCCUCCAUGGGGCUGAGCUUCCAGCAGUUCGUGUGGAUAUCCACUUUGUAUGGAGGCAGUGGACAGAGUAGUGGCCUGAGGGAGGGACGCAUAUGGACUUCUGGGUUGUGACGUCCUGCUGGCUGGUCAGGGACCUGAAAAGAGCAAGAGGGGAAGAUGGACCUACAGGAGUGGCCACACAAUAUGUGCAUCUCUCUGCCUUGUGUUAAUACUGCAGAGGAGUUGGUGAACAGCAGGAUGGAUGGGAUGUCAGUCAGCUGUGCCCCUGGCUACCCCUGUGCUUGAACAGUGGACUGUGAGUGGCGGCGUCAUGCAGAAGGAGCACAGGGUCCCAGGCCAGCAUCACUAUCCAGGAGCUUCAGGCAUGCUCCGUGUACCAACAUGGGAUCACGAAUCACAUCGCCUCAGGCCAAGAAAGCCAUUUUAUAGCGAAAGAGCCUUAGGAUCUGCUGGAUUAGAGCCUGUUUCCCAGGUAGGAACGCUUCCACGAGGGCACUCCUGCUGGUUGCAGGAAGGAUACCUCUGCUGAGCCUGAAUCUGCAAAGACCACCAGGUUACUCUCAGCUCCUCAUACUGGUGGACCAGCAGGCCACAAAGGAGGGGAUACUUGAUCCUGAUAAACGGUUAUGCUUGUUUGCUGAUGGAAAUGAUCCAGAAGAGAAGGACAAGUUGACGAUUGAGAGGGUUAAUGUCAGGAGAAGGAGUCUGGAAGGACGCUGACAACGGGUGGUGGUCAGGAAGGAAAACCCAGUGCCUGUGGCCCAGAGGCUGGAGGAGGAACUUCAAGGAGGGAUGUUCAGCUCCCUGUGGACCCCCAUUUGUUCAUCCAUACAAUGAUGCUCUGAGGAGCACACAAGGAAGGUGCAAAUUUGAUAAAAUGUGCAUGAUGUAAGGAGCAUAAACCCCCUCAGGAAAGAGUUGCUGCCUUUUCACUAAUGUAUCCCUGAGCUGCACAGAGCAGCCCUGGGGGACUGGGAGGACAUGUCCCCGGUGUGAGGAGCAGGGGAAAGGUGAGCCUUAAAUGAUCACCAACAAACAACAGGGCCUGUGUCUGGGGCUUACACCACGACAUGUGGUCCUCGCAGCACCAUUGCUCAGAGGAAGAAACCAAGAUCUCGAGGAACUGAGUAAUUUGCCCACGUUCAACAAGUUGGUGCAAAAUGAAGAGUGGCUCCCGUAUUUCAGACUUUAAGGCCGACGAUCUUCCAUCUGUGCUCUGGGGGCAAGAUGGGAGGUCCACAGAUAAAAUUGCGGGCGGUAUCCCCCAUCUCAUGGUCUUUACGCUCAUGGGACCUGGGAGUGACCAUCUUUUAAGAGGGAGGGAAGGAAGGGGAGAGGCUUGAGGAAGGUUUUGGGGAUUAGGAUCUAAGAUGAAAUUUGAGACUAUAAGACUUCAGAUUGGAUGCUGUGGCUCAUGCCUGUCAUCUCAGCACUCUGGGAGGCCAUCACCUGGGCUUGGGCCCAGGAGUUUAAGACCAACCUGGGUAACAUAGUGAGACCCUGUUUUUACAAAAACAAACAAAAUGCCAGGUAUGGUAGUGUGCACCUGUGGUCCUAGCUACUCAGAAGGCUGAGGCAGGGGGAUUCCUUGAGCCCAGGAGUUUGAGGCUACAGUGAGCUAGGGACACACCACUGCACUCCAGCCUGGGUGACAGAGUGAGACCCUGUCUCAAAAAAAAAAAAAAAAAAAAAGAUUUUAAGCUUGCUGCAAUUCCAGAUGAAGGUAGAUCCUGGAGGCACUUUGUGGGAGAGGUCACUACACUUGAGUAUUAAAGACUGUUGACAGAUCAGAAAU